GCCUGUUUAGCUCAGAGGUCAGAGCCUCGCACUUGUAAUGCGAUGGUCAUCGGUUCGACUCCGAUAACGGGCU
This 73-nucleotide transfer RNA is filed under the name Haplomitrium blumei. RNAcentral's name for it is "tRNA-Thr". It matches the Rfam family "tRNA". Rfam says of the family: Transfer RNA (tRNA) molecules are approximately 80 nucleotides in length. Their secondary structure includes four short double-helical elements and three loops (D, anti-codon, and T loops). Further hydrogen bonds mediate the characteristic L-shaped molecular structure. tRNAs have two regions of fundamental functional importance: the anti-codon, which is responsible for specific mRNA codon recognition, and the 3' end, to which the tRNAs corresponding amino acid is attached (by aminoacyl-tRNA synthetases). tRNAs cope with the degeneracy of the genetic code in two manners: having more than one tRNA (with a specific anti-codon) for a particular amino acid; and 'wobble' base-pairing, i.e. permitting non-standard base-pairing at the 3rd anti-codon position. The record is from RNAcentral. Lineage: Eukaryota; Viridiplantae; Streptophyta; Haplomitriopsida; Calobryales; Haplomitriaceae.